AUUGAACGCUGGCGGCAGGCCUAACACAUGCAAGUCGAGCGAGCGGCGGACGGGUGAGUAAUGUAUGGGGAUCUGCCUGAUCGAGGGGGAUAACUACUGGAAACGGUGGCUAAUACCGCAUACUAUCGGAUGUGCCCAUAGGGGAUUAGCUAGUUGGUGGGGUAACGGCUCACCUAGGCGACGAUCUCUAGCUGGUCUGAGAGGAUGACCAGCCACACGGGGACUGGGACACGGCCCAGACUCCUACGGGAGGCAGAAGUGGGGAAUAUGGCACAAUGGGCGCAAGCCUGAUGCAGCCAUGCCGCGUGUAUGAAGAAGGCCUUAGGGUUGUAAAGUACUUUCAGCGGGGAGGCGUUACCCGCAGAAGAAGCACCGGCUAACUCCGUGCCAGCAGCCGCGGUAAUUC
This 406-nucleotide ribosomal RNA is filed under the name uncultured bacterium. RNAcentral describes it as "partial 16S ribosomal RNA". It matches the Rfam family "Bacterial small subunit ribosomal RNA", at positions 30 to 526 of the family's 1533-position model. The record is from RNAcentral.